GUUGUUGUGGUUAAAAAGCUCGUAGUUGGAUCUCAACAGCCUUGAAGCGGUUAACUUUGUAGUUUUACUGCUUUAUAGGCUGUGCUUUUGCUGGAGGUUUAGGGGUGCUCUUGAUCGAGUGUCUCUGGAUGCCAGCAGGUUUACUUUGAAAAAAUUAGAGUGCUCAAAGCAGGCUAAAAUGCCUGAAUAUUCGUGCAUGGAAUAAUAGAAUAGGAUGUCGAUCCUAUUUUGUUGGUUUUCGGGACUCGACAUAAUGAUAAAUAGGGACAGUCGGGGGCAUUUGUAUUCAAACGACAGAGGUGAAAUUCUUGGACCGUUUGAAGACAAACUACUGCGAAAGCAUUUGCCAAGAAUGUUUUCAUUAAUCAAGAACGAAAGUUAGAGGUUCGAAGGCGAUCAGAUACCGCCCUAGUUCUAACCAUAAACGAUGCCAGCUAGCGAUCUGCCGAGUUUUUUUCGUA
This 461-nucleotide ribosomal RNA is filed under the name uncultured marine eukaryote. RNAcentral describes it as "SSU rRNA". It matches the Rfam family "Eukaryotic small subunit ribosomal RNA", at positions 609 to 1072 of the family's 1831-position model. The record is from RNAcentral.